GCUUUAGCCCAGUGGUAGGGUGUUGGCUUUACAUGCCGAAGGUCCCUGGUUCAAUCCCCAGCAUCUCCA
Podarcis lilfordi (Lilford's wall lizard) is the source of this 69-nucleotide non-coding RNA. The record is from the annotation of a GenBank genome assembly. NCBI's taxonomy places the organism in Eukaryota, Metazoa, Chordata, Lepidosauria, Squamata, Lacertidae.